Molecule: ribosomal RNA, 253 nt
Filed under: uncultured bacterium
Lineage: Bacteria
Description: partial 16S ribosomal RNA
Rfam family: Bacterial small subunit ribosomal RNA
Source: RNAcentral
UACGUAGGGCGCAAGCGUUAUCCGGAAUUAUUGGGCGUAAAGAGCUCGUAGGCGGUUUGUCGCGUCUGCCGUGAAAGUCCGGGGCUCAACUCCGGGUCUGCAUUCGAUACGGGCAGGCUAGAGUGUGGUAGGGGAGAUCGGAAUUCCUGGUGUAGCGGUGAAAUGCGCAGAUAUCUGGAGAAACACCGGUGGCGAAGGCGACAUCCUGGACCGGCAUUGACGCUGAGGCGCGAAAGCCAGGGGAGCAAACGGG